UACGAAGGGUGCAAGCGUUACUCGGAAUUACUGGGCGUAAAGCGUGCGUAGGCGGUUUGUUAAGUCCGCUGUGAAAGCCCUGGGCUCAACCUGGGAAUUGCAGUGGAUACUGGCAAGCUAGAGUGCGGUAGAGGAUGGUGGAAUUCCCGGUGUAGUGGUGAAAUGCGUAGAUAUCGGGAGGAACACCAGUGGCGAAGGCGACUACCUGGCCUGUUCUUGACGCUGAGGCGCGAAAGCUAGGGGAGCAAACGGG
Molecule: ribosomal RNA, 253 nt
Filed under: uncultured bacterium
Lineage: Bacteria
Description: partial 16S ribosomal RNA
Rfam family: Bacterial small subunit ribosomal RNA
Source: RNAcentral